Oncorhynchus keta (chum salmon) is the source of this 863-nucleotide long non-coding RNA. RefSeq lists it as uncharacterized. Lineage: Eukaryota; Metazoa; Chordata; Actinopteri; Salmoniformes; Salmonidae. The transcript is spliced from 3 exons. The record is from RefSeq and is a predicted model, not a curated record.
CUGGUUAUUCUGACAAACGACCAGUCAUAUUUGAUUUAAAUAUGCAUCACAGGAGGCUGCUGAGAGGAGGAUGGCUCAUAAUAAUGGUCAGAGUGAAUGUAAUGGCAUCAAACACAUGGAAACGUGUUUGAUACCAUACCAGUCAUGAACACGAGCCUGUUCUCCCCAAUUAAGGUGCCAUUAUCCAUACCAGUCAUGAACACAAGCCUGUUCUCCCCAAUUAAGGUGCCAUUAUCCAUACCAGUCAUGAACACGAGCCUGUCCUCCCUAAUUAAGGUGCCACCAAUCUCCUCUGAUAUGUCUCCACCUACCUUGAAGGGGUAAGCGGGUAGAUUCUAAAGUCUAGAUCAUGGGUUCUCAAACUCAGUCCUGGGGCCCCCCAGGUGCACACUAGAUCAUGGGUUCUCAAACUCAGUCCUGGGGCCCCCCCGAGGUGCACACUAGAUCAUGGGUUCUCAAACUCAGUCCUGGGGCCCCCCGAGGUGCACACUAGAUCAUGGGUUCUCAAACUCAGUCCUGGGGCCCCCCCAGGUGCACACUAGAUCAUGGGUUCUCAAACUCAGUCCUGGGGCCCCCCGAGGUGCACACUAGAUCAUGGGUUCUCAAACUCAGUCCUGGGGCCCCCCGAGGUGCACACUAGAUCAUGGGUUCUCAAACUCAGUCCUGGGGCCCCCCGAGGUGCACACUAGAUCAUGGGUUCUCAAACUCAGUCCUGGGGCCCCCCGAGGUGCACACUAGAUCAUGGGUUCUCAAACUCAGUCCUGGGGCCCCCCGAGGUGCACACUAGAUCAUGGGUUCUCAAACUCAGUCCUGGGGCCCCCCGAGGUGCACACUAGAUCAUGGGUUCUCAAACUCAGUCCUGG